GGGUAGUUUGACUGGGGCGGUCUCCUCCUAAAGAGUAACGGAGGAGCACGAAGGUCAGCUAAUCCUGGUCGGACAUCAGGAGGUUAGUGCAAUGGCAUAAGCUGGCUUGACUGCGAGCGUGACGGCGCGAGCAGGUGCGAAAGCAGGUCAUAGUGAUCCGGUGGUUCUGAAUGGAAGGGCCAUCGCUCAACGGAUAAAAGGUACUCCGGGGAUAACAGGCUGAUACCGCCCAAGAGUUCAUAUCGACGGCGGUGUUUGGCACCUCGAUGUCGGCUCAUCACAUCCUGGGGCUGAAGUAGGUCCCAAGGGUAUGGCUGUUCGCCAUUUAAAGUGGUACGCGAGCUGGGUUUAGAACGUCGUGAGACAGUUCGGUCCCUAUCUGCCGUGGGCGCUGGAGAAUUGAGGGGGGCUGCUCCUAGUACGAGAGGACCGGAGUGGACGCAUCACUGGUGUUCGGGUUGUCAUGCCAAUGGCAUUGCCCGGUAGCUAAAUGCGGAAGAGA
Molecule: ribosomal RNA, 502 nt
Filed under: Klebsiella michiganensis
Lineage: Bacteria; Pseudomonadati; Pseudomonadota; Gammaproteobacteria; Enterobacterales; Enterobacteriaceae
Description: partial 23S ribosomal RNA
Rfam family: Bacterial large subunit ribosomal RNA
Source: RNAcentral